CUGAAAAGCAAUAAGCUGCUUUUAAAAUGGUAUUCUAUUACAUUCUCAAAAGCCUUCAAAGAUAAACGAGUCGGCCUAACAGAUACAACAGUUUCUGGCAACAUAAAUGAUUUUGUAAGAUUUAAAUGGACGAAAACCACAAACUCAAAAAUCAGCACGAAAAGUCGAAUUUUCGUACCAUGCAAUUAAAGGUAGGUUCUAUGACUUCGGUUCAUCAACCCAUGUUGGGUGGUGGAGGUGGUGGGCGCAUUCCUUGGCCUUGCAUCUGUUGUUGACCUGGAAAACCUUGUGGAGGCAUCAUUGGAGGUCUACCCAUGUGUCCACCUGGAGUGAAAUUAGCCAUAGCUCCACCACCAACGGGAGGAGGUGGUGGGGCAGGUAAGUUACCUCCUGGUGGCAUAGGUCUAGGUCCGUUACCCAUAGGGGGAGGGGGUGGAGGCAUUGAUCCAGAUGGUGGGCCUCUGGGUGGAGGAUUUGGAGCUCCACCUCCACCUCCACCACAAGGUCUUCCUCCUGGAGCUCCAAAUCC
RNAcentral lists this unclassified non-coding RNA (529 nucleotides) under Hevea brasiliensis (rubber tree). Lineage: Eukaryota; Viridiplantae; Streptophyta; Magnoliopsida; Malpighiales; Euphorbiaceae. The record is from RNAcentral.